RNAcentral lists this ribosomal RNA (464 nucleotides) under Opiliosina meridionalis. RNAcentral describes it as "partial 16S ribosomal RNA". It matches the Rfam family "Bacterial large subunit ribosomal RNA", at positions 1862 to 2582 of the family's 2925-position model. Lineage: Eukaryota; Metazoa; Arthropoda; Insecta; Orthoptera; Phalangopsidae. The record is from RNAcentral.
CCCACUGAGGAUAUUAUUGAAGGGCCGCGGUAUUUUGGCCGUGCAAAGGUAGCGUAAUCNUUAGUCUUUUAAUUUGGGGCUGGAAUGAAUGGUUUGACGAAAUAACUACUGNCUUUAUAAUAUUNUUUGAAUUUUACUUUUGAGUUAAAAGGCUUAAAUGUUAAUUGGGGACGAGAAGACCCUAUAGAUCUUGAUUUUUUUAUGAAUGUUGAUGAUUCUAGAUUGGGCUCAUUAUAUUUGUGGAUAAAUUUUGUUGGGGCGAUGCGGGAAUAAAUUAACUUCUUUGUUUUAAAUUACGUCGAUAUAUGGUUAGUNAUGAUCCUGUAAUAUGGAUGUAAGAUUAAGAUACCUUAGGGAUAGCAGCGUUAUGAUAUUUGAGAGUUCUUAUCGACAAUAUAGUUUGCGGCCUCGAUGUUGGAUUAAGGAUACAUUUCGGUGUAGAAGUUANAAUAGUUGGUCUGUUC